RNAcentral lists this ribosomal RNA (399 nucleotides) under uncultured bacterium. Its description in RNAcentral is "bacterial SSU rRNA". It matches the Rfam family "Bacterial small subunit ribosomal RNA", at positions 358 to 774 of the family's 1533-position model. The record is from RNAcentral.
GGAAUAUUGGGCAAUGGAGGAAACUCUGACCCAGCCAUGCCGCGUGAGUGAAGAAGGUUUUCGAAUUGUAAAGCUCUUUCGGGUAAGACGAUGAUGACGGUAUUACCUAAAGAAGCCCCGGCAAACUUCGUGCCAGCAGCCGCGGUAAUACGAAGGGGGCGAGCGUUGUUCGGAAUUACUGGGCGUAAAGGGUGUGUAGGUGGAUGAGUAAGAUAGCGGUGAAAUACCUGGGCUUAACUUAGGAAUUGCCGUUAUAACUAUUUAUCUAGAGUGACAGAGAGGAUAUUGGAAUACCCAGUGUAGAGGUGAAAUUCGUAGAUAUUGGGUAGAACACCGGAGGCGAAGGCGAGUAUCUGGCUGUCAACUGACGCUGAGGCACGAAAGCAUGGGGAUCAAACA